Molecule: long non-coding RNA, 1374 nt
Filed under: Capra hircus (goat)
Lineage: Eukaryota; Metazoa; Chordata; Mammalia; Artiodactyla; Bovidae
Description: lncRNA (ENSCHIG00010021363.1)
Source: RNAcentral
AUGGAGUGCUGGCCUUGGCUUCCCCGUGAGAGGGGCAAGGCAGCUAGGCAUGUAUUUGCAGGGAAGCAAACUUCUAGAACAAACAGAAAACACACACGCUCCACAUCCUGUCGGCCAAGCCCAGGGCUCCCAGUCCUGACAGGUGAUCCAUUCCGGCUUCCUCACCGAGACGUGAGCCAUGAAGCGGGGCGCAGACUGGGGUUCCCCACUUUCCAGCAGGGUGGGCCCGCAAAGGCGACCUCCACAGGCGCUGCAUCUGCAAGCUCCGCAGCGUUCUUGCGGUUCCUCCAGCACACCCGAGUCUUCCCCACCCCAGGGCCUUUGAGUGGACGCCUGUCCUGGCCUGGUGGGCUCCUCCCGCGGCCCCCUGCCCUCAGGAACAUUGUCUCUAAGGCUGCAGGCAUCAGCUUAAACCCCAUCUUCUCAAAGAGCCCUUCCCCGGCUAUCCUGUGCACUGAAGGGCGCCCCCACCCCCAGUUAUUCUCUAUCUCGGGCCCUCGUUUGUGUUCUUCAGAUAUUUGUCCCAAUCUCUAACUCUCCUUAUUUGCUCUUUCUUCCUGUUCAAACGUGAAGGGCCUGGGGAGUUGCUCUCAGCCGGGUCAGUGCAGUACCUGGGGUCCGAUGAGGACUCAAUCAAUAUCUGUUUAAAUCAUAAUAAAUGUCCUUGCUUUGUCCAGGCUUAAUGAGUUCAAGACGAAAAUCAAUAACAGCCACCAGAACCCAGAAUCUCCACUCCUGAGGGCCAUUUUAUCUUCCACUGAGCUCAUGCGAAUGACAAAUAUCAGUGGCAGAAAGAUACAUAGCCCAGAAGGUCAAGGGAACUAAUGAUUUUAGUGGCAAACAAACAAAUAAAGAAAUGACCCGCUCUCUGGUGUGUCUUCCAUCCGCUGCGCACUAUACCAGCUGUGUAACAUUUUCCCCCACGUCAGCUUGAAAACCUUCUCUACCUGCGUAAGUACAGAGUGUGUUUAUAAAAAUAUCCUAACUUAAUGGUCUGGAUGAAGUGAUAUUAUCAGUGAUGAGCUAAUACACGGAAUUUAUAAGNNNNNNNNNNNNCUUACAGCUGAUUCACGUUAUUGUACAGCAAAAAUAACACAACACUGUAAAGCAAUUCUCCUCCUCUUAAAAAAAAAUCCUGUGGCAAGCCAAAUGAAAAAGAAUACUUAAAAAAGACUGUAUACAUAUGUAUAGCCAAAUCAACUUUGCUGUAUAACAGGAAUUAACAGCAUUGUAAAUCAACUAUACAUCAACAAAAUAAUUAAAUAGGGAAAAAGUUCUAUUUAUACAGUACAAAUUUGUCAAGUGCCUGAGAUUAUAAAUAAAUGAAUAAAGCAAUUCUACACUCAAGAGCUAAUAGUCUUGCUCAGAACACAA